AGUGAACGCUGGCGGUAGGCCUAACACAUGCCAGUCGAACGGCAGCACAGUAAGAGCUUGCUCUUACGGGUGGCGAGUGGCGGACGGGUGAGGAAUACAUCGGAAUCUACUUUUUCGUGGGGGAUAACGUAGGGAAACUUACGCUAAUACCGCAUACGACCUACGGGUGAAAGCAGGGGAUCUUCGGACCUUGCGCGAUUGAAUGAGCCGAUGUCGGAUUAGCUAGUUGGCGGGGUAAAGGCCCACCAAGGCGACGAUCCGUAGCUGGUCUGAGAGGAUGAUCAGCCACACUGGAACUGAGACACGGUCCAGACUCCGACGGGAGGCAGCAGUGGGGAAUAUUGGACAAUGGGCGCAAGCCUGAUCCAGCCAUACCGCGUGGGUGAAGAAGGCCUUCGGGUUGUAAAGCCCUUUUGUUGGGAAAGAAAAGCAGCAGGUUAAUACCCCGCUGUUCUGACGGUACCCAAAGAAUAAGCACCGGCUAACUUCGU
This 491-nucleotide ribosomal RNA is filed under the name uncultured bacterium. RNAcentral's name for it is "partial 16S ribosomal RNA". It matches the Rfam family "Bacterial small subunit ribosomal RNA", at positions 29 to 506 of the family's 1533-position model. The record is from RNAcentral.